Molecule: long non-coding RNA, 2242 nt
Organism: Ostrea edulis (European flat oyster)
Lineage: Eukaryota; Metazoa; Mollusca; Bivalvia; Ostreida; Ostreidae
Exons: 3
Source: RefSeq, a predicted model, not a curated record
UUUAGGCCUGCUCGUGAGAUUUCUUUUAAAUAUUAAUUGUGAAUUAUUGUGGAAAUACAUAGUUGUAAUCAAAAUAACCGAAGUUGAAAUAAAGUAUCCGUCUUUCCAGGUGACCGUUGUUUAUUGCAGAUUACUUUUAAAUGUUUCGGGAUUCAUAUUGUAUUAGAACUUGUACAGAAAUAAACAUUUUUUUUUCUUCCUAAACCCAUCAAUUUAUUUUUUUUUUAAAUGGCCGCCUCCGGUCAAGACGGUGUUUUUCAGUAGAUUAAUGAUUUUCGCGAUUCAACGACUUUCCAGCAUGUCAAUACAACGCGAGAUUGUCAGCGUUCGUCUAAGGAUAUCUGCUUGCCAGUUGACUCAAUAGCCUGCAAUGGCGACUUUGUCUGCGUUUUCACGUCGCAAACAGUGAGCAGUGAUUGUUAUGAAGUCCAUCACCAUUACCCAAUACAAACUACAUAUAUGUAACAACUGUGUCAAUUUGGUCUGUUCACAGGUGUCUACUUUUCGUGAUAAUGUAUUCAGCCAAUGGCAUGCAUUAAUUUUUUCUCAACCCAACAAUUUAACAGAAUUCUUGGCAAAAUUUAACGAUAUUCAAUGUAAUGCUCCAGGUGGACAUGUUAUGACCGUGUCCAAUUUUCGUGCAGUCCGUGUACGUACAGCUUGAUAUCACACAUCGCUUGUCAAACACUAUUGAUUUUUUUUUAGUGUUCCAAUUAUAGAAUGUUCGCUAUGAUAAAGUAUUUAGUGCAAAAGUCAUGACAUUCAAAAAUUAUAGUCGGAUAUUUUACAUUAAAUACCAUGAAUUAUUUUUGUGGUCAUAAUAAUAUAUAUGAACCUUUGUCCAAAAAAUAAAGAAUGUGCUACACGGGCAGAUGAAAACAACCCAUGGUCUCGCGCGGAAAUGAGCGAAAUGAAAGAGACGUAUCCGGUAGUUAGUAUUUAUCCGGAAUGCUAGUGCGCAAUGGCGGCAAUAAACAAACGAAGCGGAUACGUUGAAGGAAAAACUUCUUUAUUUAUUUCUUACCGUUAUGUAGACCAGUGAAAAUAAUGUACAACGAUUAAUCGCAUAAAUCCCAUGAAGAAUAGAAAACUGAAAGUAGGGCAAACAUAGAUCCCUGGACAUAUCAGAGGUGAGAUCAGUUUAUUUCAGGAAACAAAGCCUGUCUGAAACUCCAAAAUGACAUUUCCAGAAAGCUGAAGAAUGGAUAAAAAUGUAUCUACCAUCUUACAACCCAGAUUUCAUUCCACUGAAAAGAAAAGGGACAGGAAAUUUUGCAUGUCCAUGUCUUGGAAGGUGAAUAGGUGAAAAGUCAAUAGAUGCUUACCAUAUCAGAUGCUUGCAGAGGAUACUGGGGAUAAAGUAGCAGAAAAUUAUGGAAAACAGGAAGUGGCAGCCAGGACUGACAUCAAUGCAAUAAACAAUGAGCUGAGGAGACGGUGAUGGAACUAUAUAGGACACGUGCUAUGGAGGGGAGGUGACAAUGACAGUGAGAUGGCGUUGGGUUGGACACCAGAAGGGAAGAGGGCAUUUAAGAGACUGAAAACAACCUGGAGAGGAACAGUAGAAGCAGAAAGAAAGAUUGCAGAAUGGAGAAACUUGAAUGAGAUCAAGAUGGUAGCAAUAGAACAGAGUGGAUUGGAGAGAGUCUCGGUCCUAUGUGUUUUUGGCAUGGAGAGAACUAAGUAAUGUCUAGAUUGUUGGAGAUAGGAUGACCAGGAAUAUGAAUGGAUGUGCUGGAAACUGUACUAAGACCCUUAUGUAUUUGGAUAGAUUUACAUACCAUCAUGAUUUUGCUAUGAAAAACUUGAAAAAAAUCCUCAACUCAUAUUGUAGCUGACAUUGUACAUUUGUACUUAUUAAUAUUUCAAAUGAACAUAUUUUUAGACAUACAAUAUCUAAACUUUGGAGUCCAUAUACAUCUCCACAUUGGAUAAUAGGUUAUGAUGUAUGUGUGUGAAAUCUUUUCCUAUGGUAUGCACAUGUUAACACAUUAGUUUAAAUGAUGAUGUAUAUCUUAUGACUAUGGAAGAGAUUGUGUUCAGAACAGAAUAUGUGUCUAGAAGAGUUGUUGCCCUUGAAUGUAAUUCAUUAUUUACAUGGGGUUGAAAAAUAAUCCAGCACACAGUAGUACUAAAUGCAUUAUGUUAAAAUACAUUUAUGAAGGGUAUAAGUGAUACUGUCCAUUACUGAUUAAUACACUUUGUGAAAUCAUAUUGUUAUGUUUAAUAAAUUUCAAGGCUG